UACGAAGGGGGCUAGCGUUGUUCGGAAUCACUGGGCGUAAAGCGCACGUAGGCGGCUAUGUAAGUUGGGGGUGAAAUCCCGGGGCUUAACCUCGGAAUUGCCUCCAAAACUACAUAGCUAGAGUCUUGGAGAGGGUGGCGGAAUUCCUAAUGUAGAGGUGAAAUUCGUAGAUAUUAGGAGGAACACCAGUGGCGAAGGCGGCCACCUGGACAAGUACUGACGCUGAGGUGCGAAAGCGUGGGGAGCAAACAGG
Molecule: ribosomal RNA, 253 nt
Filed under: uncultured bacterium
Lineage: Bacteria
Description: partial 16S ribosomal RNA
Rfam family: Bacterial small subunit ribosomal RNA
Source: RNAcentral